ACCCUGCCGGAGCAGUAACAAAUCUUUCACCCAAUACCCAAUGUCGAGUCGGAGCGCGAGAGGCAGAACUCAAUGCCCGUUCGCGACCGUUUAUCCUCGUCGGUUGAGUGAUAGUGGUGUGUAGUUAUUAUAAGUGUUGAGGUUGAGCUCAGGAGAAGGAAUAGAAUAGAAACGAGAGUGUUAUUUGGUGGUGACCCGGGUGGUGCCCGAACCUUUUUCAGAACAGCCAGGGCACUUACCACUGGCACGCUCUUUUUUAUUUAAAAACUAAAACUAUAAUUAUUAAUAAAUUUAUCUACAGAGCUGGAGAUCUAUCUACAGAGUCGGAGUUUAAACUCAAGUCAGAGUCAGAAUCAGGAACAGAACAGAGUGAGUGGAUAUAACAACAGCAAGUGUAGUCUCGCGCGUCAAUUGUCGUCGAAGUAGUCGAUCCUGCUUGCAGCCGUCGUCGUGUGAGAGAGCCAAGAGGAUAUAGAUAUAUAGAUACCUUCAUAUAUACUACAUAAUAUUAUAGAUAUAUAUCUAUAUAUACAUAUAUGUGCAAGGAGGGCCGCUGUACAAUUGUGAUUGUGGAACAAACGGACACAAGGAAAAGGAAGACCGCUUUUCCAAAGUGUCGGGUCAAUGUACGAGGAUUGUUAGUACAGGACGCCGUGAAUCCUGAUUAUUAGUGAGCAGUGUAAUAAUAAGUCGAUCCAUAAAAAGUAUAUCGCUCCCGCGAUUAUUAAACGCCAACGAUGACCCAUAAUGGUGGUCUUCUCGGGGUGCUCCCUGCUUCACGAAGACAGAGCCACGUUUGGGGAAGUGUUGCCCAGUGACCACUCAGGAGAAUUUUUCAGAAGGUUGUGGACCAGUGAUUCAAGAUGCAGAAGAGUGACAGUAGAACGGGUAGAGGUGAAAAGGAGCUUCCUAAUCGCGACCGUGAUAGGGAGCAGGAAGCUGCCAAGAGGACUUCUAGAGGCAGCGGUAACGCGACUAGAUCUACCAUGCACACCUCUAGGCAAAGUGUUACUUCCACCUCUGGAGUGUUGAUGGUAGGACCUAACUUCAGAGUUGGAAAGAAAAUUGGCUGUGGUAAUUUUGGAGAGCUUAGACUCGGAAAAAACCUCUAUAAUAAUGAACACGUAGCUAUUAAAAUGGAACCAAUGAAGUCAAAGGCGCCACAGCUUCAUUUAGAAUAUAGGUUUUACAAAUUAUUAGGUACACAUGUUCAUAACACGCAUAUAGAAGGUGUACCGGAGGUGUACUACUUCGGUCCAUGCGGUAAAUAUAACGCACUGGUAAUGGAGCUCCUUGGACCGAGUUUGGAAGAUUUGUUCGACUUAUGCGGGCGAAGAUUCACACUAAAAACAGUUCUCAGCAUAGCAACACAACUGCUCCAUAGGAUAGAGUAUGUACACAGUCGACAUCUGAUUUAUCGUGAUGUCAAGCCGGAAAAUUUCCUUAUUGGACGUAGUACGACUAAACGAGAGAAAAUAAUUCAUAUCAUCGAUUUUGGAUUGGCCAAAGAAUACAUAGAUUUGGAUACUAACAAACAUAUACCUUACCGGGAACACAAGAGUCUUACCGGUACUGCGCGUUAUAUGAGUAUCAACACUCAUCUUGGAAAAGAGCAAAGUAGGAGAGACGACUUAGAAGCACUCGGUCACAUGUUUAUGUACUUCCUUCGAGGCAGCUUGCCCUGGCAAGGACUGAAAGCAGACACGCUGAAGGAGCGCUAUCAAAAGAUCGGUGACACGAAGCGAGCGACACCAAUAGAGGUCCUUUGUGAUGGGCAUCCCGAGGAAAUGGCCACUUAUUUACGUUACGUACGGAGAUUAGACUUUUUCGAGACACCUGAUUACGAGUACUUGAGGAAACUCUUCCAGGAUCUUUUCGAGCGGCGAGGAUUCGUCCAUGACGGCGAAUUUGAUUGGACGGGCAAGACUAUGCCUCCUAACUUUCAACAGCUUCGGCAGUUGAGAUUUGCUGCACCAUCUUGGGUUGGGAAAACAAAAUCGGACAAGUCAACACCAGUUGGAUCGAUGCAAACAGGACAUGAAAUAGUUGUGUCGCCCAAUCGAGAUCGGCAUCCUACCACUUACAAGAGUCAACUAACAAGACACAUUUCCAACAAUGUCCCGCUUGUUCCUCCAGGACGUGGCAGGUGGAGGGGUGGGAGGAGGGGGCGGUAGAGGGGUGGGAACCACAUGGCCUGAUACAGUCAAACAAACGGGGGCUGGUGGUACAUUGACGCCUGCCGACAGACAUGGUUCAGUACAGGUGGUAUCCUCGACAAACGGAGAACUGGCAAAU
Molecule: unclassified non-coding RNA, 2295 nt
Filed under: Cotesia glomerata
Lineage: Eukaryota; Metazoa; Arthropoda; Insecta; Hymenoptera; Braconidae
Description: casein kinase I, transcript variant X1
Source: RNAcentral